UGGGGAAUAUUGCACAAUGGGCGCAAGCCUGAUGCAGCCAUGCCGCGUGUGUGAAGAAGGCCUUCGGGUUGUAAAGCACUUUCAGCGAGGAGGAAGGUGGUGAGCUUAAUACGCUCAUCAAUUGACGUUACUCGCAGAAGAAGCACCGGCUAACUCCGUGCCAGCAGCCGCGGUAAUACGGAGGGUGCAAGCGUUAAUCGGAAUUACUGGGCGUAAAGCGCACGCAGGCGGUUUGUUAAGUCAGAUGUGAAAUCCCCGGGCUCAACCUGGGAACUGCAUUUGAAACUGGCAAGCUAGAGUCUCGUAGAGGGGGGUAGAAUUCCAGGUGUAGCGGUGAAAUGCGUAGAGAUCUGGAGGAAUACCGGUGGCGAAGGCGGCCCCCUGGACGAAGACUGACGCUCAGGUGCGAAAGCGUGGGGCAGCAAACAGGAUUAGAUACCCUGGUAGUCCACGCUGUAAAACGAUGUCGAUUUUGGAGGUUGUGCCCUUGAGGCGUGGCUUCCGGAGCUAACGCGUUAAAUCGACCGCCUGGGGAGUACGGCCGCAAGGUUAAAACUU
Molecule: ribosomal RNA, 558 nt
Filed under: uncultured bacterium
Lineage: Bacteria
Description: partial 16S ribosomal RNA
Rfam family: Bacterial small subunit ribosomal RNA
Source: RNAcentral